This 826-nucleotide long non-coding RNA is filed under the name Homo sapiens (human). RNAcentral's name for it is "HSALNT0201666". Lineage: Eukaryota; Metazoa; Chordata; Mammalia; Primates; Hominidae. The record is from RNAcentral.
UUCCCAUCCUGGUCACCCCAGUGCCAGGUACCAGACAAAUAGGGACACAACCACUAUGUCCCAGAGCCUGAGAAAUUAUUUAAGCAAGUGAAUCCUAAAUUGGCUUACCUUGUCUUGCCUGUGGAAACCACAACAAAGACUCGUGGCCAUGCUUUCUCCUCGCCUCUCUGCCUCUUGAUGGAUCCCAGCGCUUGCUCGUGGCAUUGCAUGGUGUGGCAUGCCCCAGCUCUUGGAAACUCAAGAAGGCCCUCAGCAAAUGCUGGCAUCUUUAUCUUGGACUUCCCAGCCUCCAGACAUGUGAGAUACAAACUUCCAUAUAUUAUAUAUUACCUCAUCUGUGGUAUUGUGUUCUAGCAGCCCAAAAUGGACUAAGACAUGAUACCUGAAUAAGAAUAAACCCUACAUUUUUAAAAACAGCCUGUUAGAACAAUUCAAGGGACCGGAAGUUUGCAUUAUGUUGCAAGGCAACAGUUUCAGCAGUGAACUGAUGGCAAAGUUCUUUACCAUCUUAAGCUGAAAAUGGCUUCCCGGUACAUUUCAAUAAUUCUCAGCCUCCAGGGCAAUAGAGAAUGAAUCUAUUCAUGUUUUUCAAGCAAUGAACUAUCAGAUAUCUGAAUACAUAACGGUCUUUCCUCAGAUACCUUUACAAGAAGCACACACAUCAAUCUAUGGAUUUCUUUGAACAUUUUUUCCACUCUUAUUCCUAUAAUAAUUAGCAUUUUGCAAGUCAUUUUGACUUCAGUUACCCAGUGAAUUGAGUGUUUUCUUCCAACAUUCUCAGGUUUUUCAAAGAUUAUUUAUUCAUUCAUUCAUAGAUCAAUUAAGC